This 253-nucleotide ribosomal RNA is filed under the name uncultured bacterium. RNAcentral's name for it is "partial 16S ribosomal RNA". It matches the Rfam family "Bacterial small subunit ribosomal RNA", at positions 524 to 776 of the family's 1533-position model. The record is from RNAcentral.
UACGAAGGGGGCUAGCGUUGUUCGGAAUUACUGGGCGUAAAGCGCACGUCGGCGGAUACUUAAGUUAGGGGUGAAAUCCCAAGGCUCAACCUUGGAACUGCCUUUAAUACUGGGUAUCUCGAGUCCGGAAGAGGUGAGUGGAAUUCCGAGUGUAGAGGUGAAAUUCGUAGAUAUUCGGAAGAACACCAGUGGCGAAGGCGGCUCACUGGACUGGUAUUGACGCUGAGGUGCGAAAGCGUGGGGAGCAAACAGG